UGGGGAAUUUUGGACAAUGGGCGAAAGCCUGAUCCAGCAAUGCCGCGUGAGUGAAGAAGGCCUUCGGGUUGUAAAGCUCUUUUGUCAGGGGAGAAACGGUGAGAGCUAAUAUCUUUUGCUAAUGACGGUACCUGAAGAAUAAGCACCGGCUAACUACGUGCCAGCAGCCGCGGUAAUACGUAGGGUGCAAGCGUUAAUCGGAAUUACUGGGCGUAAAGCGUGCGCAGGCGGUUUUGUAAGUCUGAUGUGAAAUCCCCGGGCUCAACCUGGGAAUUGCAUUGGAGACUGCAAGGCUAGAAUCUGGCAGAGGGGGGUAGAAUUCCACGUGUAGCAGUGAAAUGCGUAGAUAUGUGGAGGAACACCGAUGGCGAAGGCAGCCCCCUGGGUCAAGAUUGACGCUCAUGCACGAAAGCGUGGGGAGCAAACAGGAUUAGAUACCCUGGUAGUCCACGCCCUAAAACGAUGUCUACUAGUUGUCGGGUCUUAAUUGACUUGGUAACGCAGCUAACGCGUGAAGUAGACCGCCUGGGGAGUACGGUCGCAAGAUUAGAACUCAAAUGAAUUGACGGGGGUCAUAGCUGUUUCCUG
This 588-nucleotide ribosomal RNA is filed under the name uncultured bacterium. RNAcentral describes it as "partial 16S ribosomal RNA". It matches the Rfam family "Bacterial small subunit ribosomal RNA", at positions 355 to 941 of the family's 1533-position model. The record is from RNAcentral.